GACGAACGCUGGCGGCGUGCUUAACACAUGCAAGUCGAACGGUAAGGCCCUUCGGGGUACACGAGUGGCGAACGGGUGAGUAACACGUGGGUGAUCUGCCCUGCACUUCGGGAUAAGCCUGGGAGACUGGGUCUAAUGCCGGAUAGGACCACUGCCUGCAUGGGUGGUGGUGGAAAGCUUUUGCGGUGUGGGAUGGGCCCGCGGCCUAUCAGCUUGUUGGUGGGGUGAUGGCCUACCAAGGCGACGACGGGUAGCCGGCCUGAGAGGGUGACCGGCCACACUGGGACUGAGAUACGGCCAAGACUCCUACGGGAGGCAGCAGUGGGGAAUAUUGCACAAUGGGCGCAAGCCUGAUGCAGCGACGCCGCGUGAGGGAUGACGGCCUUCGGGUUGUAGACCUCUUUCAGCACCGACGAAGCGCAAGUGACGGUAGGUGCAGAAGAAGGACCGGCCAACUACGUGCCAGCCGCCGCGGUAA
RNAcentral lists this ribosomal RNA (478 nucleotides) under uncultured bacterium. Its description in RNAcentral is "partial 16S ribosomal RNA". It matches the Rfam family "Bacterial small subunit ribosomal RNA", at positions 28 to 523 of the family's 1533-position model. The record is from RNAcentral.